This 74-nucleotide transfer RNA is filed under the name Yersinia enterocolitica (type O:5,27) str. YE149/02. RNAcentral's name for it is "transfer RNA-Met". The stretch from base 1 to 53 matches the Rfam family "tRNA", at positions 20 to 71 of the family's 71-position model. From Rfam's summary of the family: Transfer RNA (tRNA) molecules are approximately 80 nucleotides in length. Their secondary structure includes four short double-helical elements and three loops (D, anti-codon, and T loops). Lineage: Bacteria; Pseudomonadati; Pseudomonadota; Gammaproteobacteria; Enterobacterales; Yersiniaceae. The record is from RNAcentral.
AGAGCACAGCACUCAUAAUGCUGGGGUCACAGGUUCGAUUCCCGUCGUAGCCACCAUCUUUUUUUAUGUAUGCG